AAAUGAUGAAAUCACCCCAAAGUAGCUGGAAUUACCGGCAGAUGGUGCAGUGUUGAGCCUCAGGUUUUCUGACG
Suricata suricatta (meerkat) is the source of this 74-nucleotide small nucleolar RNA. The record is from Ensembl. Lineage: Eukaryota; Metazoa; Chordata; Mammalia; Carnivora; Herpestidae.